Molecule: ribosomal RNA, 484 nt
Filed under: uncultured bacterium
Lineage: Bacteria
Description: partial 16S ribosomal RNA
Rfam family: Bacterial small subunit ribosomal RNA
Source: RNAcentral
AUUGAACGCUGGCGGCAGGCCUAACACAUGCAAGUCGAGCGGAUGAAGGGAGCUUGCUCCUGGAUUCAGCGGCGGACGGGUGAGUAAUGCCUAGGAAUCUGCCUGGUAGUGGGGGAUAACGUCCGGAAACGGGCGCUAAUACCGCAUACGUCCUGAGGGAGAAAGUGGGGGAUCUUCGGACCUCACGCUAUCAGAUGAGCCUAGGUCGGAUUAGCUAGUUGGUGGGGUAAAGGCCUACCAAGGCGACGAUCCGUAACUGGUCUGAGAGGAUGAUCAGUCACACUGGAACUGAGAGACGGUCCAGACUCCUACGGGAGGCAGCAGUGGGGAAUAUUGGACAAAGGGCGAAAGCCUGAUCCAGCCAUGCCGCGUGUGUGAAGAAGGUCUUCGGAUUGUAAAGCACUUUUAGUUGGGAGGAAGGGCAGUAAGUUAAUACCUUGCUGUUUUGACGUUACCAACAGAAUAAGCACCGGCUAACUUCGUG